GGCAGGGACAUCAGUGCCGGCUCACAGCCAGCCAGAGCGUCCCUGCCACAGGGCUUGACUCAACCUCUCAGACCUUUCUUGCCUCUGAGGCAAUAAAUGGUGAAACCAGGACAUUUCAACACAGAGAUGGCCCAACGCGGCACCGUGCUGUGCAGAGCACUUCCCCUGCUUCCCAGCAGAGCUCGGAAGUCCCCUGGUUUGGGUACGAUGGAAGCCGUAGCCCUCUCCCCAGCCCUCCCGCGUUCCUGCAGAGCUCGGUCAUGCAGGGCCAUGCUGGUCUUGCCAUGCAACUCCUGCGAGUCACCUCCAGCCCUCUGUGGGGCUCUGAAGACCUGACCUUCAGUGGGUUCACGUUGGCCAGCAUCAGAUGAGAACGGAACCCACCCUCCCGGUCAUCGCGGUGGCCGGUUCCUCACAUCCAAGAGUCACUCCCUGAACCCCAGGCUUUUUUCUGGGUGGGACUCUUAUGGGCAGCAGGGCUUUGUGGGCUUCAAGCUUCCCAACAGCAGCCGAAUCCAAGCUAACAGUGCACCAAGCUGCUCCUCCUCCUCUUUCUGUUCCUCCUCCUCCUCGGGCUGUUUCACAGUCAGGCUACAGCGACUUCCUGGCGUUGCACACAGUUUCUCGCCAACCGUUAGGAAAGAGCUUCUGGUUUCAGGGGAAGGGGACAUCAGAGAGACUUGCCUUGCACAAGUCCUUCUGCUUGGAUGCCUCCGGUGGCCUUUGGAAAGGAGAUGAGCAUGCAGGAAAGCGUCCGCUAAUGGAAAAUGACACAUCUGGAGGGGAAAGAGGCCGUGGUGAGGCACCUACGGGCAAAGCUGCAAGGGAAUAGGAAAGACCCUCCCGAAGCAGGUGGCUGGCUGGAGAGUCGCUCUGCAGCAUCCCCUGCAACGGAGCCGGGACAGACCCCUGCGUGGGGCUCCAAGGGAAAGCCACCUCCUGAGCCCCCCCGGACCAGGAGGGUGGACUUCAGCAGGGCUUCUCCGACUCGCGGUGAAGGUCAGAGUGUGGGACAGCGUUCGCCGCCUCAUCCCGUCGGUGAGACCCCAGGAUGGAUGGUGCGACUGAAGAAGGGGACUGCGCAAGAUGCCAGCUUCCCCUCAGCCCCUGCAAAGCCAGAAGGAGGAGACGCAUUGAACAAGGAAGUGGAAGCUGCCUCCGAUCCCCCAACCCAGCAGAGAAACCCAACCCAGCAGACACGGCCACUUGCCAGAGACAAGGGUUCUCCACCUGUUCCUGCCAAAGGCCCAGCUGUUGCAGCCUCCCUGGACGCUGCGGGAAGGCCCCAUGGGACGGGGCACCCAGUUGUGCCUCGGAGGAAGCCUUUGCCGCACGUCAAGGUGCUGGGAGCGAGGCCGGCCAAGCCCAGGCGCCCUCCUGUCGUGGAUCUGGAGAAGUUUGGUGCAGCUGCAUAUCCUGCAACACCCGUCCGUCCUGCCAUGGAGCCGCUAAGGAGCGCUCAGCUGGGUAUGGCCAGGCACCUGCAAGUCCCCCAAAGAAGGAUGCAGCUCAUUCAGAAAGGAAAAUCUCCCCAGUCACAGUCUGGAGCUUCUGGGAGAUGUAAAUACUGGGGGGGCUGAUGGAGAGGUGGGGGCUUGUAAUGCCAAAGGAGCUUUUCUAGCCAUACCAUGCAGAAAGGAAUGAGAGAGAAGGACACCUGGUGAAGAAACAAAGGGGACUAAAUUCCCUGUCCCUGGCUGGGGACAGGUAUCAGGCUCUGGGGUGGGUGUAGGGAGUAGGGUUGGAGCAAGUAACAUGAGGGAUGCUGACAAACUGGAGUCAGCCCAGUGCAGGGCACUAAGAUGUUUGGCAGCUGGAGCAUGUGGGAAAAUAGAGGUUAAGACCCAGGCUUGUUUGGUUGGGAGGAGAGCAACUGAAGGUAAGGUCAUCUCAGUGCCCACAGCUACCCAACAGGAGGAGAUGAUAGAGCAAGACCCUUCCCAAAUUGCCCAGGAACAGGACCGGAGGCAACAGGCAUGAGCUGCAGUAGGGGAAGUUCCAGUCAGAUAUUAGGAGAAGGCUCUUUCCUGUGGGAGUGGUGCAGCCCUGCAGCAGGCACUGGGGAGAUGGGUAUCCCCAUCUGUGGAGAUAUUCAGUUGCCACCUGGAUGAGGCUCUAAACAACCUGCUUUAGCUCUAAGGACAUCUCUGCUCUGAGCAGGAGGUUGGAUGACACUCCAGAGGUCCUUUCCAACCAAUCCACCCCUGUGUGGCUGUAAGAGCAGACAAGCCUGGCUGGUGACGAUCAGUGCUGGUCUCCAUCCCAUGGGCAAGAUGCACUCACACACCCUUUGGCCAAGGGACAGAGGCUCUCUGAAGCUGGCAGCACGUUGCCUGAAACACCAUCCUCCUCCAAGCCUGAGGGAGCUGCCAAGCCUCCCCAGGCACAACUGGAGCUAUGGCCUGGCUAUGCUAUAGCCAUAUGGCCAUAUAGCCAUAUAUGGCCAUAGCUAUGGCCAGCUAUGGUGCUGGCUUGGCGUGCCCUCCUUACCAGCUGUCCGUGGGACACAGUACUUGGUGCAUCUUGGACAUGGUUCUCCAUUUGACAUGAGCCCUGCCAGGCUCCACAGUGGCCUUCCAG
RNAcentral lists this long non-coding RNA (2580 nucleotides) under Calidris pygmaea (Spoon-billed sandpiper). RNAcentral describes it as "lncRNA (ENSCPGG00000000160.1)". The record is from RNAcentral. Lineage: Eukaryota; Metazoa; Chordata; Aves; Charadriiformes; Scolopacidae.